This 317-nucleotide ribosomal RNA is filed under the name uncultured eukaryote. RNAcentral describes it as "partial large subunit ribosomal RNA". It matches the Rfam family "Eukaryotic large subunit ribosomal RNA", at positions 40 to 350 of the family's 3401-position model. The record is from RNAcentral.
AUAUUAAUAAGCGGAGGAAAAGAAACUAACAAGGAUUCCCUUAGUAACGGCGAGUGAAGUGGGAAAAGCCCAGCACCGAAUCCCCCGUCGCAUUCUACGGUGGGAACUGUGGUGUUAAGGACAGCCUACGGGGAUCGAUCGGGGACCCGAGUCCUCCUGAUCGGGGCUUCACCCAGAGCGGGUGUCAGGCCUCUACGGCUCCCGGUUGGUUCUCAAUGGUCGUCCUAGGAGUCGGGUUGUUUGAGAUUGCAGCCCAAAGCGGGUGGUAAACUCCACCUAAGGCUAAAUACAGACACGAGACCGAUAGCGCACAAGUA